Molecule: ribosomal RNA, 400 nt
Filed under: uncultured bacterium
Lineage: Bacteria
Description: bacterial SSU rRNA
Rfam family: Bacterial small subunit ribosomal RNA
Source: RNAcentral
UGGGGAAUUGUUCGCAAUGGGCGCAAGCCUGACGACGCAACGCCGCGUGGAGGAUGAAGAUUUUCGGAUCGUAAACUCCUGUCGAAUGGGACGAAUGGCCUGGCCGUGAACAACGGCCGGGAAUGACGGUACCGUGAGAGGAAGCCCCGGCUAACUCCGUGCCAGCAGCCGCGGUAAUACGGGGGGGGCAAGCGUUGUUCGGAAUUACUGGGCGUAAAGGGCUCGUAGGUGGCCACCUAAGUCCGACGUGAAAUCCCUCGGCUCAACCGGGGAACUGCGUCGGAUACUGGGUGGCUUGAAUCCGGGAGAGGGACGUGGAAUUCCAGGUGUAGCGGUGAAAUGCGUAGAUAUCUGGAGGAACACCGGUGGCGAAGGCGGCGUCCUGGACCGGUAUUGACAC